AACGAACGCUGGCGGCAGGCCUAACACAUGCAAGUCGAGCGAGGACUUCGGUUCUAGCGGCGGACGGGUGAGUAACGCGUGGGAAUGUGCCCUUCUCUACGGAAUAGCCCUGGGAAACUGGGAGUAAUACCGUAUACGCCCUAUUGGGGAAAGAUUUAUCGGAGAAGGAUCAGCCCGCGUUGGAUUAGGUAGUUGGUGGGGUAAUGGCCUACCAAGCCGACGAUCCAUAGCUGGUUUGAGAGGAUGAUCAGCCACACUGGGACUGAGACACGGCCCAGACUCCUACGGGAGGCAGCAGUGGGGAAUCUUAGACAAUGGGGGCAAUCCUGAUCUAUCCAUGCCGCGUGAGUGAUGAAGGCAUUAGGGUUGUAAAGCUCUUUCAGCUGGGAAGAUAAUGACGGUACCUGCAGAAGAAGCCACGGCUAACUCCGUG
Molecule: ribosomal RNA, 433 nt
Filed under: uncultured bacterium
Lineage: Bacteria
Description: partial 16S ribosomal RNA
Rfam family: Bacterial small subunit ribosomal RNA
Source: RNAcentral